This 29-nucleotide small RNA is filed under the name Bombyx mori (domestic silkworm). Its description in RNAcentral is "ovarian small RNA-6536". The record is from RNAcentral. Lineage: Eukaryota; Metazoa; Arthropoda; Insecta; Lepidoptera; Bombycidae.
UAUAGUCGGUGUCUCUAUACAGUUUGAUC